RNAcentral lists this unclassified non-coding RNA (592 nucleotides) under uncultured marine bacterium. Its description in RNAcentral is "partial contains 16S ribosomal RNA, 16S-23S ribosomal RNA intergenic spacer, and 23S ribosomal RNA". The stretch from base 480 to 592 matches the Rfam family "Bacterial large subunit ribosomal RNA", at positions 1 to 113 of the family's 2925-position model. The record is from RNAcentral.
ACCCUUGACCACGGUAUAGUCAGCGACUGGGGUGAAGUCGUAACAAGGUAGCCGUAGGGGAACCUGCGGCUGGAUUACCUCCUUUCUAAGGAUGAAUGAAAGUAAAAUUUCAUUCUAAAUAAUAUACAUCGGUAAUGUUGACCGUCCUCAUUUCUCUUCUUAAAGUAAUGUUUCCUUCUUGUAGGGCCGGUAGCUCAGUUGGUUAGAGCACACCCUUGAUAAGGGUGGGGUCGAAAGUUCGAGUCUUUCUCGGCCCACCAUACUUAACUGGGGGAUUAGCUCAGCUGGGAGAGCGCCUGAUUUGCAUUCAGGAGGUCAGCGGUUCGAUCCCGCUAUCCUCCACCAGGAAACAUUUAGUUAUAAAAACUGUAAAUAAAUUUAAUAAUUAAUAUCAAUAUCUAUAUCCGAACAUUAGUAAUGUUAUUAGCUAAUGUUCAAAAUAAAAAUUUGAUUCAACACAGAAUUUUUUUCUGUGCAUAAAUCAAGCGUUUAAGGGCGUGUAGUGGAUGCCUUGGCACUGAAAGCCGAUGAAGGACGUGAUAUACUGCGAUAAGUUUCGGGGAGCUGUAUGUAAGUUUUGAUCCGAAAAUUU